GACAGGUGGUGCAUGGUUGUCGUCAGCUCGUGUCGUGAGAUGUUGGGUUAAGUCCCGCAACGAGCGCAACCCCUAUUGUUAGUUGCCAUCAUUCAGUUGGGCACUCUAGCGAGACUGCCGGUAAUAAACCGGAGGAAGGUGGGAUGACGUCAAAUCAUCAUGCCCCUUAUGACCUGGGCUACACACGUGCUACAAUGGUUGGUACAACGAGUUGCGAGUCGGUGACGGCGAGCUAAUACUCUUAAAGCCAAUCUCAGUUCGGAUUGUAGGCUGCAACUCGCCUACAUGAAGUCGGAAUCGCUAGUAAUCGCGGAUCAGCAUGUCGCGGUGAAUACGUUCCCGGGUCUU
This 348-nucleotide ribosomal RNA is filed under the name uncultured Streptococcus sp. RNAcentral describes it as "bacterial SSU rRNA". It matches the Rfam family "Bacterial small subunit ribosomal RNA", at positions 1033 to 1382 of the family's 1533-position model. Lineage: Bacteria; Bacillati; Bacillota; Bacilli; Lactobacillales; Streptococcaceae. The record is from RNAcentral.